This 558-nucleotide long non-coding RNA is filed under the name Phoenix dactylifera (date palm). Its description in RNAcentral is "long non-coding RNA (PDAC_LNC017856)". The record is from RNAcentral. Lineage: Eukaryota; Viridiplantae; Streptophyta; Magnoliopsida; Arecales; Arecaceae.
CCGUGAAAACAAUCGGUUGGUUCUAGUCGGUGAGCCUGUGAAAACCGACCGAGUUCGUUGUGAUCUCGCAAAACAACAAGUUGGGUUGUGAGCUUGUAAAACAACCGACUGUAAUCUAAGGAAUUAUAGUGAAAUUCCCAAGAGGUCUUGGGGAGUGGAUGUAGGUGCUGGGGUGCACCGAACCACUAUACAUCUUUGUGUUUGUGAUGCUUUAUCUCUUGUAUUUCAUGCCUUCCAUUCAUGCUUGAUUGUGUAAUAUCUCUAUAUUUGUUUCUAUAGAGUUAUAAGUGAUUUGCUUAGCUUCCACUCCAUUCUUACCAUACACAUAGAUUAAAAUUGAUCAUACAACUAUAAGUUAAUGUUAGAUCAAUUGCACCCUAAAGCCAUAGUAUAAUUACUCUAGCUUAAUCUUCCACUGCUUUACUUGUAAUUGCCUAGAGCUUAAGUAAAUAACAUCUUAUUAUUCCGCUGCAUUCUAUUCAAAGUAAAAAUUAGGGAACAUAAUUUUUAGAAAACCCAAUUCACCCCCCCCUCUUGGGUUGUCACCUUGGGCAACAA